This 478-nucleotide ribosomal RNA is filed under the name uncultured bacterium. Its description in RNAcentral is "bacterial SSU rRNA". It matches the Rfam family "Bacterial small subunit ribosomal RNA", at positions 100 to 565 of the family's 1533-position model. The record is from RNAcentral.
GGACGGGUGAGUAACACGUGGACAAUCUGCCUUCCAGUCGGGGAUAGCACAUGGAAACAGGUGGUAAUACCGGAUGAGACGUCCGGGGCGCAGGCCCUGGAGGGGAAAGGAGCUACGGCUUCGCUGGGAGAUGAGUCCGCGGCCCAUUAGCUGGAUGGCGGGGUAAAGGCCCACCAUGGCGACGAUGGGUAGCCGGCCUGAGAGGGUGGACGGCCACAUUGGAACUGAGACACGGUCCAGACUCCUACGGGAGGCAGCAGCUAAGAAUCUUCCGCAAUGGGGGGAACCCUGACGGAGCGACGCCGCGUGAACGAAGAAGGCCGUGAGGUUGUAAAGUUCUUUUCGGGAGGGGGAAUAAGCCUGCCAGGGAAUGGGCGGGUGAUGACGUGAAUCCCGGAAUAAGCCCCGGCUAACUACGUGCCAGCAGCCGCGGUAACACGUAGGGGGCGAGCGUUGUUCGGAAUUAUUGGGCGUAAAG